GGGCGAAUGGUUUAGUGGUAUAAUACUUCUUUAGCAUAGAAGUGGUCCAGGGUUCGAGUAAGCAUCUCCCAUACCCUUA
Molecule: non-coding RNA, 79 nt
Organism: Leptodontidium sp. 2 PMI_412
Lineage: Eukaryota; Fungi; Ascomycota; Leotiomycetes; Helotiales; Leptodontidiaceae
Source: the annotation of a GenBank genome assembly